This 300-nucleotide ribosomal RNA is filed under the name Bacillus bingmayongensis. RNAcentral's name for it is "bacterial SSU rRNA". It matches the Rfam family "Bacterial small subunit ribosomal RNA", at positions 81 to 374 of the family's 1533-position model. The record is from RNAcentral. Lineage: Bacteria; Bacillati; Bacillota; Bacilli; Caryophanales; Bacillaceae.
CUCUUAUGAAGUUAGCGGCGGACGGGUGAGUAACACGUGGGUAACCUGCCCAUAAGACUGGGAUAACUCCGGGAAACCGGGGCUAAUACCGGAUAAUAUUUUGCACCUCAUGGUGCGAAAUUGAAAGGCGGCUUCGGCUGUCACUUAUGGAUGGACCCGCGUCGCAUUAGCUAGUUGGUGAGGUAACGGCUCACCAAGGCGACGAUGCGUAGCCGACCUGAGAGGGUGAUCGGCCACACUGGGACUGAGACACGGCCCAGACUCCUACGGGAGGCAGCAGUAGGGAAUCUUCCGCAAUGG